Molecule: long non-coding RNA, 249 nt
Filed under: Elaeis guineensis (African oil palm)
Lineage: Eukaryota; Viridiplantae; Streptophyta; Magnoliopsida; Arecales; Arecaceae
Description: long non-coding RNA (EGUI_LNC045530)
Source: RNAcentral
GGAGGGAUGAUGCUGCUCAAGUCGAGGUUCGGAUAUAAUUUUUCAACCGCAUCUCGACCGUCUUCAUACCCGACACAAUACGAAGCGAAGCCAUUUUCGAGGAUCUCUUCCCUAUAUUCUUUCGAACCUCAAAAAUUCUCAACUGUCCGACCUAGAGCUUCUCUUGCCGACUCUGCUUCUGCCUUGGCCAAAUCAGCAUUGGCUCGAGCAGAGGACAAUUCUUCUUCAACCAGUGCCAACUUUUUUAGG